This 380-nucleotide unclassified non-coding RNA is filed under the name soil metagenome. RNAcentral describes it as "partial contains 5.8S ribosomal RNA, internal transcribed spacer 2, and large subunit ribosomal RNA". The stretch from base 1 to 120 matches the Rfam family "5.8S ribosomal RNA", at positions 35 to 154 of the family's 154-position model. The record is from RNAcentral.
GAUGAAGAACGUAGUGAAAUGCGAUAAGUAAUGUGAAUUGCAGAAUUCAGUGAAUCAUCGAAUCUUUGAACGCACCUUGCACCCUUUGGCAUUCUGAAGGGUAUGCUCGUUUGAGUGUCAUUGUACUCUCACACUCCCGAUCUUUGCAUUGGGAGCAGUGGACUUGGGUUUGCUGCUUCACCGUCGCUUACCUCAAAUAGGUAAGUGCAACUCUUGGUUGGACAUAGUACGGCGUGAUAAGUGUUCUUCGCCGGUGCCUCGCAAAGAGGGUGGCCGAUCGGGAUGUUGUGCUCCAAACCGUCUUCGGACAAUCUCUGACGACUUGACCUCAAAUCGAGUAAGACUACCCGCUGAACUUAAGCAUAUCAAUAAGCGGAGGA